Molecule: transfer RNA, 75 nt
Filed under: Actinomycetota bacterium
Lineage: Bacteria; Bacillati; Actinomycetota
Description: Actinobacteria bacterium (soil metagenome) tRNA-Lys
Rfam family: tRNA
About the family: Transfer RNA (tRNA) molecules are approximately 80 nucleotides in length. Their secondary structure includes four short double-helical elements and three loops (D, anti-codon, and T loops). Further hydrogen bonds mediate the characteristic L-shaped molecular structure. tRNAs have two regions of fundamental functional importance: the anti-codon, which is responsible for specific mRNA codon recognition, and the 3' end, to which the tRNAs corresponding amino acid is attached (by aminoacyl-tRNA synthetases). tRNAs cope with the degeneracy of the genetic code in two manners: having more than one tRNA (with a specific anti-codon) for a particular amino acid; and 'wobble' base-pairing, i.e. permitting non-standard base-pairing at the 3rd anti-codon position.
Source: RNAcentral
GCGCCGCAAGCAUGACUGGUGAUGCACCGGACUCUUACUCCGGGGAACAAGGUUCGAGGCCUUGGCGGCGCACCA